Galleria mellonella (greater wax moth) is the source of this 426-nucleotide long non-coding RNA. RefSeq lists it as uncharacterized. NCBI's taxonomy places the organism in Eukaryota, Metazoa, Arthropoda, Insecta, Lepidoptera, Pyralidae. The record is from RefSeq and is a predicted model, not a curated record. The transcript is spliced from 2 exons.
CUUUUGAUUGCGUUAACUUAAAAUUUUUACUAUUUUACAGCUUCAAACGAAUGCAGACUUGAGUAUUUGAUAUUAAUUUCAGCUUCGAAUCUCCACGCGAUACCUCAUGAGUGCCGGAUAGAUAUACGGACAAAAACUAAUAAGGGUUCCGUUUUUCCUUUUAGAUACGGAACCCUAAAAAGGGUUGAAAAAUAUAAGUACCUAAAUGAAUUCUAUUAGGUAAAUACCUAUAGUGAGUACGAGUGUACAAAUCUAAGGAUAUACAUAUUUCUAGCUCUCACUAUACAUACCCCACAGCACUUUAACGACCACUCUUCUUGACACGAGUAUAUUCGAUCGAUGCAUAUAAUUAUAGCCGCAAUGGCUAUGAUUACGAUCCAAAAUACACUUAACCACAAUGGACAACAGACCACUUUGGCUUUAUGA